This 253-nucleotide ribosomal RNA is filed under the name uncultured bacterium. Its description in RNAcentral is "partial 16S ribosomal RNA". It matches the Rfam family "Bacterial small subunit ribosomal RNA", at positions 524 to 776 of the family's 1533-position model. The record is from RNAcentral.
UACGAGAGGUGCUAGCGUUAUUCGGAAUUAUUGGGCGUAAAGGGCGCGUAGGCGGUUUAUUAAGUUUGUUGUUAAAGCCUCUGGCUUAACCGGAGAAAAGCAAUAAAAACUGAUAAACUAGAGGGUGAGAGAGAGAAGUGGAAUUCCCGGAGUAGCGGUAAAAUGCGUAGAUCUCGGGAGGAACACCAAUGGCGAAGGCUGCUUCUUGGCUCACAACUGACGCUGAGGCGCGAAAGCGUGGGGAGCAAACAGG